UACGGAGGGGGCUAGCGUUGUUCGGAAUUACUGGGCGUAAAGCGUGCGUAGACGGUUAUUUAAGUCGGGUGUGAAAGCCCCGGGCUCAACCUGGGAAUUGCAUUCGAGACUGAAUAGCUAGGGUACGGUAGAGGGAAGCGGAAUUUCCGGUGUAGCGGUGAAAUGCGUAGAUAUCGGAAGGAACAUCAGUGGCGAAAGCGGCUUCCUGGACCAGCACCGACGUUCAGGCACGAAAGCGUGGGGAGCGAACAGG
RNAcentral lists this ribosomal RNA (253 nucleotides) under uncultured bacterium. Its description in RNAcentral is "partial 16S ribosomal RNA". It matches the Rfam family "Bacterial small subunit ribosomal RNA", at positions 524 to 776 of the family's 1533-position model. The record is from RNAcentral.